GACGAACGCUGGCGGCGUGCUUAACACAUGCAAGUCGAGCGGUAAGGCCCUUUCGGGGGUACACGAGCGGCGAACGGGUGAGUAACACGUGGGUGACCUGCCCUCAGCUCUGGGAUAAGCCCGGGAAACUGGGUCUAAUACCGGAUAUGACUCCACGGUGCAUGUCGUGGGGUGGAAAGCCUUGUGCGGCUGAGGAUGGGCCCGCGGCCUAUCAGCUUGUUGGUGGGGUGAUGGCCACCAAGGCGACGACGGGUAGCCGGCCUGAGAGGGCGACCGGCCACACUGGGACUGAGACACGGCCCAGACUCCUACGGGAGGCAGCAGUGGGGAAUAUUGGACAAUGGGCGCAAGCCUGAUCCAGCCAUGCCGCGUGAGUGAUGAAGGCCUUAGGGUUGUAAAGCUACCUUUACCUGGGAAGAUCAUGACGGUACCAGGAGAAUAAGCCCCGGCUAACUUCGUGCCAGCCGCCGCUGUAAG
Molecule: ribosomal RNA, 477 nt
Filed under: uncultured bacterium
Lineage: Bacteria
Description: bacterial SSU rRNA
Rfam family: Bacterial small subunit ribosomal RNA
Source: RNAcentral